CCCUUAGAUGUUCUGGGCUGCACGCGCGCUACACUGAUGCACUCAUCGAGUUUAUGACCUUGUCCGAUAGGAUUGGGUAAUCUUCUUAAAAUGCAUCGUGAUGGGGAUAGAUUAUUGCAAUUAUUAAUCUUCAACGAGGAAUUCCUAGUAAGCGCGAGUCAUCAGCUCGUGCUGAUUACGUCCCUGCCCUUUGUACACACCGCCCGUCGCUACUACCGAUUGAGUGAUCCGGUGAAUAAUUCGGACUGCAGCAAUGUUUGGAUCCCGAACGUUGCAGUGGAAAGUUUAGUGAACCUUAUCACUUAGAGGAAGGAGAAGUCGUAACA
Molecule: ribosomal RNA, 326 nt
Filed under: uncultured eukaryote
Lineage: Eukaryota
Description: partial 18S ribosomal RNA
Rfam family: Eukaryotic small subunit ribosomal RNA
Source: RNAcentral